Molecule: long non-coding RNA, 434 nt
Organism: Caretta caretta (loggerhead turtle)
Lineage: Eukaryota; Metazoa; Chordata; Testudines; Cheloniidae
Source: RefSeq, a predicted model, not a curated record
AAAAGCACUAGUAAACUCAGGACAAACUAAGAUUCUCUACAGACAAUGACUUGUUUAUACUGCUCUAUAUACUAUGCACUGAAAUCUGGAACUGGAUGGACUAAAAUGCCAUGAGCAAGGCUGUCGCACUGUACUUCUGAUCCAGCCUGAAGAGCAUGGACGCCCUUGGAAUGCCGCUGCACACGACAGGACAGGCUGUGAACCCUCUUCUCACAUUAUUGAGCAGUUACCCAGUUAGUCCCAUCAACUCCAUAUUGGCUGCUGAGCAAGAUGGAAAAUCCAGACCAGUUACUGUGUAAAUCGUCCAGGCAGAAGGCACCUGCUGUGCUGCUGAAUGUACUAGGUAUAUGCUCGUAUUCGAGCUAUGCCAGUGAGAAUGUUGAUGAAUGACAGCAACACAGCUGGAGUGGGACAGAAUGAGCAACGGAAUUAAG